Molecule: small nuclear RNA, 19 nt
Filed under: Arabidopsis thaliana (thale cress)
Lineage: Eukaryota; Viridiplantae; Streptophyta; Magnoliopsida; Brassicales; Brassicaceae
Description: snRNA_01086
Source: RNAcentral
AAUCACUAAUUAACACGUG